Molecule: ribosomal RNA, 484 nt
Filed under: uncultured bacterium
Lineage: Bacteria
Description: partial 16S ribosomal RNA
Rfam family: Bacterial small subunit ribosomal RNA
Source: RNAcentral
AUUGAACGCUGGCGGCAGGCCUAACACAUGCAAGUCGAGCGGAUGAAGGGGGCUUGCUCCUGGAUUCAGCGGCGGACGGGUGAGUAAUGCCUAGGAAUCUGCCUGGUAGUGGGGGAUAACGUCCGGAAACGGGCGCUAAUACCGCAUACGUCCUGAGGGAGAAAGUGGGGGAUCUUCGGACCUCACGCUAUCAGAUGAGCCUAGGUCGGAUUAGCUAGUUGGUGGGGUAAAGGCCUACCAAGGCGACGAUCCGUAACUGGUCUGAGAGGAUGAUCAGUCACACUGGAACUGAGACACGGUCCAGACUCCUAUGGGAGGCAGCAGUGGGGAAUAUUGGACAAUGGGCGAAAGCCUGAUCCAGCCAUGCCGCGUGUGUGAAGAAGGUCUUCGGAUUGUAAAGCACUUUAAGUUGGGAGGAAGGGCAGUAAGUUAAUACCUUGCUGUUUUGACGUUACCAACAGAAUAAGCACCGGCUAACUUCGUG